RNAcentral lists this long non-coding RNA (1045 nucleotides) under Homo sapiens (human). Its description in RNAcentral is "non-protein coding lnc-FOXQ1-29:2". The record is from RNAcentral. Lineage: Eukaryota; Metazoa; Chordata; Mammalia; Primates; Hominidae.
GCCACGCAAGGUUCUGUGGGAAGAUGAAUUGGGGGAACAUGGGGUUGAAGUAAAUGAAAGAGCUCCUUGCUGUGACAUUAGUUUGAGCCUUUAAUGGGAUUCUACGGUAAUGUGGCAUUUUCCGAACAUUUUAACCACAGUCUGGUGUGUGUGUGUGUGUGUGUGUGUGUAUGUUACGUUCACAUUUGUGGCUGGUGCUCUCUGGAACAUAAACACACCUACAGCAACACUGCUGUAGAAUGAAGGGGCAGAGCUAGAGGGGCCAAUGGGUCCAAAGGGAGGGGCCCAGGGAAGACUCAGCGGGUUCUCUCACCUAGUUUAGACACUCUACCGCAGCCACUGGGAUCCUGUUCCCACAUGGAAGCGCGCCAUUCAGAUGUGGAAAACACAGCAAAAGUAGCUGAGAUAGGCUUUGGCUGGGAGUGGCCCCAGUGGAAGCCCUGACACCCUCUCCUCCUGGCAGGCCCCAGGCCCCGCACACCUUCUGCCUGCCCCCCGUGGGGCCCUCUGUUCCGCUGCUCUUGGCCUAGGCACAGGGGGCUACUUUUCUGCUGCUGCUCCUGUAUGGUUCCCUUCCCACGCCCCACUAAGGUGGCCUGGCCCUGGACCAGCCUCUCAACCCCCUCUUAUGAUGUUUGCCUCUUGAGGGCUGUCACAACCUCAUUAGGGCCACCCCAUUGAUUAUCCAAGGAUGGGCGCAGGGAGCAGCCCCACCCUGAGCAGGUGGGGCCUUGCUCUCCAAGGGCCUGGGAGAAAGACAGCUCCUGCAGCCACCAUGAUGCCACUAUGCAGAAUCCCCGAGGUUCUGUGGCUUCUGUAGGCUCAGAGCCCUGGACACCAGUGCCAGGGUCAUCGAAGGAAGGAGGAACAGAGUGCGUCACUGAAGGUAGCAGGACAAGAAUCCACAUCGGGAAGCCACCACUUCCUGAGUCAUAUUAUUUCUGUAUCUGGAAAGCAAGCUUCCAGCAGCAACACUGCUGUAGAAUGAAGGGGCAGAGCUAGAGGGGCCAAUGGGUCCAAAGGGAGGGGCCCAGGGAAGACUCAG